GUAGGGGGCUAGCGUUGUCCGGAUUUAUUGGGCGUAAAGAGCGUGUAGGCGGCCGAGUAAGUCCGGUGUGAAAACUCGAGGCUUAACCUCGAGAUGUCAUCGGAAACUAUUCGGCUAGAGUCCGGAAGAGGAGAGUGGAAUUCCUGGUGUAGCGGUGAAAUGCGCAGAUAUCAGGAAGAACACCUAUGGCGAAAGCAGCUCUCUGGGACGGUACUGACGCUGAGACGCGAAAGCGUGGGGAGCGAACAGGAUUAGAUACCCUGGUAGUCCACGCCGUAAACGAUGGGUGCUAGGUGUGGGCGGUGUCGACUCCGUCCGUGCCGAAGCUAACGCAUUAAGCACCCCGCCUGGGGAGUACGGCCGCAAGGCUAAA
This 373-nucleotide ribosomal RNA is filed under the name uncultured bacterium. RNAcentral describes it as "bacterial SSU rRNA". It matches the Rfam family "Bacterial small subunit ribosomal RNA", at positions 527 to 898 of the family's 1533-position model. The record is from RNAcentral.